Molecule: ribosomal RNA, 750 nt
Filed under: uncultured Actinomyces sp.
Lineage: Bacteria; Bacillati; Actinomycetota; Actinomycetes; Actinomycetales; Actinomycetaceae
Description: bacterial SSU rRNA
Rfam family: Bacterial small subunit ribosomal RNA
Source: RNAcentral
GACGAACGCGGGGGCGUGCUUAACACAUGCAAGUCGAACGCUGAAGCUCAGCUUUUGUUGGGUGGUGAGUGGCGAACGGGUGAGUAACACGUGAGUAACCUGCCCUCCUCUUUGGGAUAACGCCCGGAAACGGGUGCUAAUACUGGAUAUUCACUGAUCUUCGCAUGGGGGUUGGUGGAAAGGUUUGUUCUGGUGGGGGAUGGGCUCGCGGCCUAUCAGCUUGUUGGUGGGGUGAUGGCCUACCAAGGCUUUGACGGGUAGCCGGCCUGAGAGGGUGACCGGUCACAUUGGGACUGAGAUACGGCCCAGACUCCUACGGGAGGCAGCAGUGGGGAAUAUUGCACAAUGGGCGAAAGCCUGAUGCAGCGACGCCGCGUGAGGGAUGGAGGCCUUCGGGUUGUAAACCUCUUUCGCUCAUGGUCAAGCCGCGACUUUGGUUGUGGUGAGGGUAGUGGGUAAAGAAGCGCCGGCUAACUACGUGCCAGCAGCCGCGGUAAUACGUAGGGCGCGAGCGUUGUCCGGAAUUAUUGGGCGUAAAGGGCUUGUAGGCGGUUGGUCGCGUCUGCCGUGAAAUUCUCUGGCUUAACUGGGGGCGUGCGGUGGGUACGGGCUGACUUGAGUGCGGUAGGGGAGACUGGAACUCCUGGUGUAGCGGUGGAAUGCGCAGAUAUCAGGAAGAACACCGGUGGCGAAGGCGGGUCUCUGGGCCGUUACUGACGCUGAGGAGCGAAAGCGUGGGGAGCGAACAGG